Molecule: ribosomal RNA, 253 nt
Filed under: uncultured bacterium
Lineage: Bacteria
Description: partial 16S ribosomal RNA
Rfam family: Bacterial small subunit ribosomal RNA
Source: RNAcentral
UACGUAGGGGGCAAGCGUUGUCCGGAAUCAUUGGGCGUAAAGAGCGUGUAGGCGGUCCGGUAAGUCGGCUGUGAAAGUCCAGGGCUCAACCCUGGGAUGCCGGUCGAUACUGCCGGACUAGAGUUCGGAAGAGGCGAGUGGAAUUCCCGGUGUAGCGGUGAAAUGCGCAGAUAUCGGGAGGAACACCUAUGGCGAAGGCAGCUCGCUGGGACGUUACUGACGCUGAGACACGAAAGCGUGGGUAGCAAACAGG